GAUGAACGCUAGCGGCAGGCCUAAUACAUGCAAGCCGAACGGCAAGUUUGAUAGCAAUAUUGGACCUGGAGUGGCGCAAGGGUGCGUAACACGUAUGCAACCUGCCCGCGACAGGAGGAUAGCUCCCCGAAAGGGGAAUUAACCAUCCAUAACACCAUGAGAAGGCAUCUGAUUAUGGUUAAACCGCAAGGGGUCGCGGAUGGGCAUGCGGUUGAUUAGCUAGUUGGCGGGGUAAAGGCCCACCAAGGCGGGGAUCAAUAGGGGUUCUGAGAGGAAGGUCCCCGACACUGGGACAGGGAUACGGGCCAGACUCCUAGGGGAGGCAGCAGUAGGGAAUAAUUGAGAAGGGUUGCAAGCCUGACCCAGCCAUGCCGCGUGCAGGAAGAAGGCCUUCUGGGGCGUAAACUGCGUUUGCGUGUGGAUAAAAUACCCGUGCGCGGGGAAUUGACGGUAACAGGGGAAUAAGCCACGGCUAACUACGUG
This 483-nucleotide ribosomal RNA is filed under the name uncultured bacterium. RNAcentral's name for it is "partial 16S ribosomal RNA". It matches the Rfam family "Bacterial small subunit ribosomal RNA", at positions 28 to 507 of the family's 1533-position model. The record is from RNAcentral.